GGCCUGGUCACCCUGAACACACAAGAUCUAGUCUGAUCUCUGAGGCUAAUCAGAGUCAGGGCUGGUUAGUACUUGGAUGGGAGAAAGGGAGCAGUC
Molecule: ribosomal RNA, 96 nt
Filed under: Otolemur garnettii (small-eared galago)
Lineage: Eukaryota; Metazoa; Chordata; Mammalia; Primates; Galagidae
Source: RNAcentral